RNAcentral lists this small nuclear RNA (345 nucleotides) under Rhinopithecus roxellana (golden snub-nosed monkey). RNAcentral's name for it is "7SK RNA (ENSRROG00000008396.1)". The stretch from base 1 to 304 matches the Rfam family "7SK RNA". From Rfam's summary of the family: 7SK was discovered as an abundant small nuclear RNA in the mid-70s but a possible function has only recently been suggested. Two independent studies have found that 7SK RNA binds the CDK9/cyclin T complex (known as elongation factor P-TEFb). Lineage: Eukaryota; Metazoa; Chordata; Mammalia; Primates; Cercopithecidae. The record is from Rfam by way of RNAcentral.
AGACUCUGUGGGGGCGAGCUGGCUGCGGCAUCUGUCACCCCAUUGAUUACCAGGGUUGAUUCCACUGCUGUGGCCAGCUCAGCGCUGUUCCCUUCCCGCCUCACCGUUCCACGUGCCUCCUUCCCCAAAUUGUGUGCUCAGCCAAAGAAAAUGACCUUCCCAAACAGAGAAGGACCAUUCUCCAGUCUGGGGUGUCCGAGCAGCCACACUCCCCUGCCAGAAUCUCCAAAGAAGCUCUCCAUGGUGCAACUGAAAUCAGACCUCUGUUGCCUUUUGGGGUUUAAUACAAUUCCAUCGUAUGGAUCACAUCACAUUUUGUGUAACCACUAAUCCGUGGCAGAAAUG